RNAcentral lists this ribosomal RNA (490 nucleotides) under uncultured bacterium. Its description in RNAcentral is "partial 16S ribosomal RNA". It matches the Rfam family "Bacterial small subunit ribosomal RNA", at positions 30 to 507 of the family's 1533-position model. The record is from RNAcentral.
AUUGAACGCUGGCGGCAGGCCUAACACAUGCAAGUCGAACGGUAACAGGAAGAAGCUUGCUUCUUUGCUGACGCGUGGCGGACGUGUGAGUCAUGUCUGGGAAACUGCCUGAUGGAGGGGGAUAACUACUGAAACCGGUGCUUAAUACCGCUUAUUUUCUCAAGACCAAGGAGGGGAACUUUCGGGCCUCUUUCCAUCGAAUUUUCCCAGAUGGGAUUAGCUAGUAGGUGGGGUAACGGCUCACCUAGGCGACGAUCCCUAGCUGGUCUGAGAGGAUGACCAGCCACACUGGAACUGAGACACGGUCCAGACUCCUACGGGAGGCAGCAGUGGGGAAUAUUGCACAAUGGGCGCAAGCCUGAUGCAGCUAUGCCGCGUGUAUGAAGAAGGCCUUCGGGUUGUAAAGUACUUUCAGCGGGGAGGAACGGAGGAAAGUUAAUACCUUUGCUCAUUGACGUUACCCGCAGAAGAAGCACCGGCUAACUCCGUG